AGGAUUAACGCUGGCGGCGUGCCUAACACAUGCAAGUCGAACGAGGUAGCAAUACCUAGUGGCAGACGGGUGAGUAGCGCGUGGUCAACCUACCGUUGAGUGGGGGAUAACUAGCCGAAAGGUUAGCUAAUACCGCAUACGUCUCCGAGGGGCAUCCCUUGGCGAUAAAAGGAGCAAUCCGCUCGAUGACGGGACCGCGUCCCAUUAGCUAGUUGGUGGGGUAACGGCCUACCAAGGCAUCGAUGGGUAGCUGGUUUGAGAGAGCGACCAGCCACACUGGGACUGAGAUACGGCCCAGACUCCUACGGGAGGCAGCAGUGAGGAAUUUUCCGCAAUGGGCGAAAGCCUGACGGAGCGACGCCGCGUGUGGGAAGAAGGCCUUCGGGUCGUAAACCACUGUCGAAGGGAAGAUAAUGACGGUACCCUUGGGAGGAAGCCCCGGCUAACUACGUGCCAGCAGCCGC
Molecule: ribosomal RNA, 464 nt
Filed under: uncultured bacterium
Lineage: Bacteria
Description: SSU rRNA
Rfam family: Bacterial small subunit ribosomal RNA
Source: RNAcentral